This 561-nucleotide ribosomal RNA is filed under the name uncultured Lactobacillus sp. Its description in RNAcentral is "bacterial SSU rRNA". It matches the Rfam family "Bacterial small subunit ribosomal RNA", at positions 928 to 1488 of the family's 1533-position model. Lineage: Bacteria; Bacillati; Bacillota; Bacilli; Lactobacillales; Lactobacillaceae. The record is from RNAcentral.
AGCGGUGGAGCAUGUGGUUUAAAUUCGAUGCUACGCGAAGAACCUUACCCAGGUCUUGACAUCUCUGCCAACGUAAGAGAUUAGGCGUUCCCUUUCGGGGACAGAAUGACAGGUGGUGCAUGGUUGUCGUCAGCUCGUGUCGUGAGAUGUUGGGUUAAGUCCCGCAACGAGCGCAACCCUUAUUGUUAGUUGCCAGCACUCAGUUGGGCACUCUAGCAAGACUGCCGGUGACAAACCGGAGGAAGGUGGGGAUGACGUCAAAUCAUCAUGCCCCUUAUGACCUGGGCUACACACGUGCUACAAUGGACGGUACAACGAGUUGCGAAACCGCGAGGUCAAGCUAAUCUCUUAAAGCCGUUCUCAGUUCGGAUUGUAGGCUGCAACUCGCCUACAUGAAGUUGGAAUCGCUAGUAAUCGUGGAUCAGCAUGCCACGGUGAAUACGUUCCCGGGCCUUGUAUACACCGCCCGUCACACCAUGAGAGUUUGUAACACCCAAAGCCGGUGAGGUAACCUUCGGGGACCAGCCGUCUAAGGUGGGACAGAUGAUUAGGGUGAAGUCG